RNAcentral lists this ribosomal RNA (497 nucleotides) under uncultured bacterium. RNAcentral describes it as "partial 16S ribosomal RNA". It matches the Rfam family "Bacterial small subunit ribosomal RNA", at positions 28 to 507 of the family's 1533-position model. The record is from RNAcentral.
GUUGAACGCUGGCGGCGUGCCUAAUACAUGCAAGUCGAGCGAACAGACGAGGAGCUUGCUCCUCUGACGUUAGCGGCGGACGGGUGAGUAACACGUGGAUAACCUACCUAUAAGACUGGGAUAACUUCGGGAAACCGGAGCUAAUACCGGAUAAUAUAUUGAACCGCAUGGUUCAAUAGUGAAAGACGGUUUUGCUGUCACUUAUAGAUGGAUCCGCGCCGCAUUAGCUAGUUGGUAAGGUAACGGCUUACCAAGGCAACGAUGCGUAGCCGACCUGAGAGGGUGAUCGGCCACACUGGAACUGAGACACGGUCCAGACUCCUACGGGAGGCAGCAGUAGGGAAUCUUCCGCAAUGGGCGAAAGCCUGACGGAGCAACGCCGCGUGAGUGAUGAAGGUCUUCGGAUCGUAAAACUCUGUUAUUAGGGAAGAACAAAUGUGUAAGUAACUAUGCACGUCUUGACGGUACCUAAUCAGAAAGCCACGGCUAACUACGUG